GGGAAGGGGGCAACGAUUAAAUUUGAAAUGGGGAGAGAGGGCUCAUACAACACAUGAAGGAAUACAAGGAUCUAUUCAAGAACAUAUAGAUUUACUUCAAAUAGCAAUUUCAAGGAUGUCACUAAGGACGGGUAUAAAAACCAGAACAGUGGGAAAAGCUGAUGAUCUCCAUGGCGUUGAUGGUCUUAUCAUACCAGGUGGAGAAUCAACUACCCUGAAGAAAUUUCUGAAUGAGGAUUUUCUAAAUACUCUUCAAGACUGGAGGGAAGGGGGGAGAACAGGUCAGUGGAUAUGAUCUAGAAGUAUACGGAAAAAAGCACCUAGGUGCAAUGUUUG
RNAcentral lists this unclassified non-coding RNA (336 nucleotides) under Eurytemora carolleeae. Its description in RNAcentral is "pyridoxal 5'-phosphate synthase subunit PdxT-like". Lineage: Eukaryota; Metazoa; Arthropoda; Copepoda; Calanoida; Temoridae. The record is from RNAcentral.